CAACGUCAACUCAUAUGGGACUACCCCCUGAAUUUAAGCAUAUUAAUUAGGGGAGGAAAAGAAACUAACAGAGAUUUUCUUAGUAGCGGCGAGCGAAAAGAAAUCAGUUCAUCACUAAGUCACUUUGUCUAUAUAGCACAUGUGAAAUGCGGUGUACCGAAUAUUAAAAUUUUAGUAUGAGAAGUUAACGAUUUUAAUGCCCCUUAAAAAAAGCCAUUUACCCAAAAAUGGGGCCAGGGUCUCCUAAAACUUUAAU
RNAcentral lists this non-coding RNA (256 nucleotides) under Drosophila virilis. RNAcentral's name for it is "Eukaryotic large subunit ribosomal RNA". It matches the Rfam family "Eukaryotic large subunit ribosomal RNA", at positions 1 to 236 of the family's 3401-position model. The record is from Rfam by way of RNAcentral. Lineage: Eukaryota; Metazoa; Arthropoda; Insecta; Diptera; Drosophilidae.